RNAcentral lists this ribosomal RNA (498 nucleotides) under uncultured bacterium. RNAcentral's name for it is "partial 16S ribosomal RNA". It matches the Rfam family "Bacterial small subunit ribosomal RNA", at positions 28 to 523 of the family's 1533-position model. The record is from RNAcentral.
GAUGAGCGCUAGCUACAGGCUUAACACAUGCAAGUCGAGGGGUAGCAGGGUAGCAAUACCGCUGACGACCGGCGCACGGGUGAGUAACACGUAUCCAACCUUCCCAUAACUCGGGGAUAGCCUUUCGAAAGAAAGAUUAAUACCCGAUAGUACUUAACAAAGGCAUCUUUGAUAAGUUAAAGAUUUAUUGGUUAUGGAUGGGGAUGCGUUCCAUUAGAUAGUUGGUGAGGUAACGGCUCACCAAGUCUUCGAUGGAUAGGGGUUCUGAGAGGAAGGUCCCCCACAUUGGUACUGAGACACGGACCAAACUCCAACGUGAGGCAGCAGUGAGUAAUAUUGGUAAAUGGGCGAGAGCCUGAACCAGCCAAGUAGCGUGAAGGAUGAAGGUCCUAUGGAUUGUAAACUUCUUUUAUAGUAGAAUAAAGUGAUCCACGUGUGGAUUUUUGUAUGUAUACUAUGAAUAAGGAUCGGCUAACUCCGUGCCAGCCGCCGCGGUAA